GGCUCAAUAGCCGAGGGGUUAGAGAACUGGUUUUAUAAACCAGCUGUUGUGAGUUCAAUUCUCACUGGGGCCU
RNAcentral lists this transfer RNA (73 nucleotides) under Perca fluviatilis (European perch). It matches the Rfam family "tRNA". From Rfam's summary of the family: Transfer RNA (tRNA) molecules are approximately 80 nucleotides in length. Their secondary structure includes four short double-helical elements and three loops (D, anti-codon, and T loops). Further hydrogen bonds mediate the characteristic L-shaped molecular structure. tRNAs have two regions of fundamental functional importance: the anti-codon, which is responsible for specific mRNA codon recognition, and the 3' end, to which the tRNAs corresponding amino acid is attached (by aminoacyl-tRNA synthetases). tRNAs cope with the degeneracy of the genetic code in two manners: having more than one tRNA (with a specific anti-codon) for a particular amino acid; and 'wobble' base-pairing, i.e. permitting non-standard base-pairing at the 3rd anti-codon position. The record is from Rfam by way of RNAcentral. Lineage: Eukaryota; Metazoa; Chordata; Actinopteri; Perciformes; Percidae.